Non-coding RNA from Triticum aestivum (bread wheat), 135 nucleotides. The record is from Rfam. Lineage: Eukaryota; Viridiplantae; Streptophyta; Magnoliopsida; Poales; Poaceae.
AUGGUACUCCCUCCGUCACAGAAUUCUUGUCUUAGAUUUAUCUAAAUACGGAUGUAUCAAGUCAUGUUUUAGUAUUAGAUACAUCCGUAUCUAGACUAAUCUAAGACAAAAUUUUUAGGAUGAAGGGAGUAUGAU